This is a long non-coding RNA of Amphimedon queenslandica, 358 nucleotides long. RefSeq lists it as uncharacterized. Lineage: Eukaryota; Metazoa; Porifera; Demospongiae; Haplosclerida; Niphatidae. The record is from RefSeq and is a predicted model, not a curated record. The transcript is spliced from 3 exons.
ACACGUGGUCACAUGUGUUUAGUGAUGGACAGUAUUUUAAAAGAUAUGCUGAGUGUAAUGGAGACACACAUUGACUUUGAGAGACUAUUAGAAGAAUUAGGAUCAGAAGCAACCAAUCUACCUGAUAUAUCACAAGGUAUACAGUCACGUGACACUACUCAUUGAUCACGUGAUCACAGGUUGGUCUAAUGGUUUGAGAUGAGUGAUAGAUCAUCAAGCAAUGAGUCUGUCUCAGUCUCCAGAGACGUUUGGUACAUGGCUACUGAUUAAUAAACUAAAAGAAACAAAUGAUGAUAAGGUGAUUGAUGGGGUGAUUAGUGUGGGCGUGGUAUUACGAGAUUUGAUGUAUAUUAAUCAU